GCUCCCUUGGCUUAGUGGUAAAGCGUAUCACUAGUAAUGAUAAGAUCACUGGUUCGAUUCCAGUAGGGAGCA
Non-coding RNA from Metarhizium robertsii ARSEF 23, 72 nucleotides. Lineage: Eukaryota; Fungi; Ascomycota; Sordariomycetes; Hypocreales; Clavicipitaceae. The record is from Rfam.